This 87-nucleotide transfer RNA is filed under the name Methanoregulaceae archaeon PtaB.Bin056. RNAcentral's name for it is "tRNA-Leu". It matches the Rfam family "tRNA". Rfam says of the family: Transfer RNA (tRNA) molecules are approximately 80 nucleotides in length. Their secondary structure includes four short double-helical elements and three loops (D, anti-codon, and T loops). Lineage: Archaea; Methanobacteriati; Methanobacteriota; Methanomicrobia; Methanomicrobiales; Methanoregulaceae. The record is from RNAcentral.
UGCGAGGGUAGGCAAGCCUGGCCAAAACCGGCGGACUUAAGAUCCGUUCUCGAAGGAGUCCGUGGGUUCGAAUCCCACCCCUCGCAU